GAUUAAAUGUACAAAAACGAUGGGAAAGAAAGUUAUAGAAA
RNAcentral lists this non-coding RNA (41 nucleotides) under Trypanosoma lewisi. Lineage: Eukaryota; Euglenozoa; Kinetoplastea; Trypanosomatida; Trypanosomatidae. The record is from RNAcentral.